AAGCAAAUAUUUCAUGUCAAAGAUUUAACAACAGCUGAGUUUGACGAGAAGAUGAGACAGAUGUUUGAGAGAGACGUGGGGUUUCUGAAAGCAGGUCAAAGGGCGGCAUGUUUCAGAACUCUAGCAAGCCUUCCAGUUGAGUUAAUGCACUUCGCGCCAGCUGGCCCUAAGAAAAUGGAGGCGGUAGAAGAUACCUUGCAUGGACCCGAUACCUUUGACCUUGA
Long non-coding RNA from Haliotis rufescens (red abalone), 224 nucleotides. RefSeq lists it as uncharacterized. The transcript has 3 exons. The record is from RefSeq and is a predicted model, not a curated record. NCBI's taxonomy places the organism in Eukaryota, Metazoa, Mollusca, Gastropoda, Lepetellida, Haliotidae.